CUUUCUUAAGUAUGAUAGUCUUUGCAUCCUUGAUCCAUCUCCUCGAAAUAUGCUUUGAUUGAUACCAUUGUUGGACCAUGAGAGGGAGCCUCAUUAAAUUGGAUCACAUUGAACUAAAAGAGCAACCAUACAAAUGAGAUUGAACGACAAAUCUUCACCUAAAUUCUUCACCCAUUGAGUUUAUUGUUCUUGCAAAACUAAGUUUGGUUCAUGUUGGCUCCCUUCUCUCUAAGUUCCGUUCCUUUUUCCUCUUUUCUCUAGCACGACGGUGGCUCAAAGGGAUCACAAAAUAGCCGUAGGUAUGUAUUUUAUAGUCUUUGUAAAUUUUGAUUAUCUCUCUGUUCUAGUCAUUUUUAGAUAUAUAUAAUUGUGAUGUUGUAUGUUAUUAAAGUAAUGAAUGAAGUAAAAGGGGUAAUGAGAACGAUUAAUUUAGGAUUUGAAGAGUUGUUACAUGAUGGAAAAAGAUAUUUUGUUAUGAUUCUCCCAUUGUGUAUGUUAGUAUGUACGUGAGUAUUUGAAUUUGUCUUUUUAUCCAUCUAUUGUGAUACUUUGAAUUUUUUUUUAUUUUUUUACCGAAAUUUAGUUUCAUAACAAAGGGGUCUAUAUCUUUUCCCAACUCUAACAUAUGCCCAUAAAAAUCUGAAGUUUUAAAACCUUAAUUACUUGGUGAAUAUGCUAUCUAGGAUAGAGUGAAGAUUGAUAAACAUCCUUUAAUUUAUGUACAUCUAAUUAACAUUCAUAUGAGUCAAAGGUUGAUUGGAUGUAAACUUUCUCUCUUAUUUCUACUCAUAUUCCAUUUUGGACUAUGGAGAGACAUGUGGGAGCACAUUAGGUAUUAAAUGGAAAGAUGGGUGUCUACCUAUAGCUACUCUAAAGCAUAUUUUCUAUGGUCUCUAAUAUAAAUAAAAGUUGAGUUAGCAAAUUUAGUUCAAGGUUUGAAUCAAAUGCAUCCGUUUUCGUUGGCAGAUCUUGAACAUUUUUUUUCUAGGGCAUCCGUUUUUAUAGUGAAAUUAUGAAUUAGCUGGUGGUUUAUUUCCCUCGAACUACCGUAGAGAACGGUGGUUACCUCUUUUUUUGAGUAAAGUAUUAAUAAUACAAUGGAAAAUAUAAAAAAGGAAGCUAACGAGGAUCGAACCCAAACCCUUAGGGGGUUUCAAAAUUCAUCAAUCCACUGCGACAACAAUGUUCCAUUAGAUAUAUCAUGCAUAAUAUGAUAAUUAUAGGAAAGUUAGGGGAUGCAGUGGCACCUGCAGAUCUCCACUAAGAUCUGUCACUGGACACCAUAUUUGACUUUAUGAAACUAUUUAUUGAUAGAGUAAUGCACUCAUGAGUGAAUGCCCAAAGUGAAUCACUAGUGGCCUAAACUUUAAUAUAUUGGGCAUUACUUUCAUCAUUUCACACCUUAUGUUUGGGAUUUUUUUUAUGGUCACAAGAACAAAUAUAAAUCGUUUAAACACAUUCAUAAAAUAUUAAUUCUACUGUUGAGGAGAUUGGAGAGCGCUCAGAGCGGCAAUGCGCUAAAUGUCUAAGACCAGCUAAGAGAGAAACACCACACUCUGACCCAAAACCCUAAGGCACUGAGUUUAUGGGUCUCCUCUAUUGUGUGUGUGUGUGUGUGUGUGUAUCCAAUGUUUGCUCCAUUUCUAGUUGAUGUGGGACAUUAUCACUCGCACUUGAUUCCCAACAAACUCCCCCUCAAGUUUGACUCCCACAUCACUAGGACGAUCCAACUAGGAUUCCGCUCCCACUCCCCCAGCAAGCCUAAUUAUGUUCUGAUACCAGUUUGUUGAGGAGACUGAAGAGCGCUUGGAGCGGCAAUGGUUAAACGUCCAGGACCCACUAAAAGAGAGACAUCACACCGUUACCCAAAACCCUAAGGCAAUGAGUAUAUAUCCAACCUUUGCUUCAUUUCUAGUUUGAUGCUUCAUAAACUCACACUUAAUUCUUAAUAUUAUGCAUGAUAUAUCUAAUGGAAAGUUAAUUGUACACUUCACUUUUGUGUGAGAUUUGUGACGAUGUAGGUAUUGUGAUCCUGAGAAAAUUGCUCUAUAUUUGAAAACGAUUACCUUAUGGCAAAUUCUAUGGUACACCCACUACUUAUUAACAAUAUGAUAUGUGUACACACUUUAAAUUUGCACAUCUUAUGUUUGGGGGAUUAUUUUUUGUCACAAGACAGAAAAUAAAUCAUUUAAACACACUCAAAAUAUUUAUAUGUUGAAAAAUCCUUUUCGAACAAUAUUAUUUCCUAGCUGAAACUACUCGAAAUUGUUGUGAUAUUGCUCUUUUGUGCCAAAAGAGUCAAUAACGUAAAUUAAUAUUGUAGUUAAAACUUUUCUAUUUAAUUUCUUAAUCUCGUAGCUUGAACAUACUUCUUAGAAUUUUCUAGUAAUUUAAUAAUUGAAAUUUAACUCAAUCAGUUGAACAACGUAUUAUGGCAUAAAGGGAAAAAAACAUAUGUUAUGGCAUGAAAGUGAAACCGUGGUACUUGUUAAUAAUAAGUGGUUACAUGGAAGAUUUAACCCUAAAGACUAGGCAUGGAGUAUGAUAAGAGUCCAUGCUUUAUUUUACAUUUCUUAUUACAUCAUCAUUUACUGCAUGGGGAUCAUACACACAUGCAUGCUUCAUGGUUUUCAUGGACUUGCCCCACGUCCUCCCUUCCCUCCUCCUCCCCAUUUUCCACCACCGUGUCCUCCUCCUCCAUGUCCACCUCCUCCCCAGCCUCCACCACCGUGUCCUCCUCCUCCAUGUCCACCUCCUCCCCAGCCUCCACCACCGUGUCCUCCUCCUCCAUGUCCACCUCCUCCCCAGCCUCCACUACCACCGUGUCCUCCUCCUCCCCAUCCAUCUUUGGGUUCUACUGUCGCCCCGGCUGCAGAUACAGAGAACACUUUUUAAAUGUUCCUAAUACAAGUAUUUGCCUAAGCGGAUAGGCUACACCAUUAUUCAUGAUAUAAAGAAAAUAUUUUUCAUGCAUUAUUACCGUCAAUAAUAGAUUAUGAUUAUUAUUUGCAUGAAUUUUAAAUUAUAUAUAGAGUUUUUUUUUAAGAUGUCAAAUUAGUCCAGCGUAAUAGUCAUCGAAGAGAAUUAAAUCUGAAACCUUAAGAGGAUCAUGGUAUAAGGUCUCAAGUCAAUAUCAUCAUAUAAUUCAAGUAAUUUUUAAACCAAUAAAUAAGAGAUCAUUAAGAUGGAUAUGAUAAAUGUUCAACUUAAUUGACUAACAUUAUAAAGGGAAAAAAAACAGAGAAAAAACACAUACACUCUCAAGAGCACAUGGAUUAUAUUUAUGUAAAAUAAGUACCUUCUUUUCCAUCUUUGGACGGUUCAGUUGCUGCUGAAGCGAUAAGAAGUAGUGUGCAAAGGAAACACAAGAAUAUAACGGGUCUGAUAUUCAUCUUUGCUACUUAGGUUAUGUUGUUAAGUGUUGUUGUGUGAAGAAUAUUGUUGUUGUGAACAUGCUAUUUAUAGUGAUAAAAUGAAGGGAAAAGACAAUUAAAAGAAAAAAGGGAAUUUGUUUAGAUAAUUCGUUUGGCAGAUUGUGAGGCAAAUAGAAUGUGAAAAGUGUAUCCUCAUCAUCACCGAUUGAGUAAGUGAAGGCUUUGAAUGAGACACGUCUGUAAAACGAGGUAAGCAAGUUUGUAAAACGAUGGCAAGUGGCAGUUUGACUAAGAGAAUAUUUAAUUAGGUUAUAUGUUUUUGGGACCAAGUUUUGUUCACUACCUUAAUUUUCAUACUUAAUAAAAAUGACGUGACAUAUUAUAAACUAGUAUUAUAUCCGUGAUAAGCACGAGCGAUUUUAGUCCUAUUUAAAAGAGAGAAUGUUGUGACGUAUUUAGUGUUAGUUACAUUUUAAUAUUGAAUAAAUUAAGAUUACAUAUAGGGAAACUAAUAAGUGAGAAAACUCGUAUAAAUGUUUUAAAUUAUUUCGUUAAGAUGUGGUAUCAUUUUUACUUAGAUGUUGCUUGUCCAAUUGAUCGAUUCACACCAUUGUUAACUUCUCCAGGAAGUUCAACAAUGGAAGCAUAGCCCGGUUCGACUUAGUGGGGGAAGGGUAAGUGGUUCUUAGUGGUAGAUCACGUAUGCGGAGAGUCUUAUACUUGAAGGAGAAAAUUUAAUGCGUCAAGUGUGGGUUAAUGUUCUACAUUAGAUCCAAGAGUAUAUGUUGAGAAACACGUAGGAUAUAAGACACAUAUAACUAAUGCCUUAAAUUUAGGGUGAAUUUGUAGUGUCAAAACUACGACCUUAAAGUUUAGGGUGAAUUUGUAUUGUCAAUAUCACUUUGUUUGAUUUUUCUUAGUGUAAUAGAUGAUCAAACUUGAUGUAGGAUCUCCGAUAGUAACAAUAUUAUCAUAAGUUGUUCUUUUAGUUUCUUUAAAAAAAAGUUGUUCUUAAUUUAGUUUGUGGAUGUCAUUUGUUUAAUUUUUUUCUUAAAAUUUAGUUUUGGGAUGUCACUCGCUUUCAUUCUUCUUCAUUUUUUAUUCAACAUUCAUUAUUUCAAAUUUCUUAUCUUUUAGUCUUUAGAAAAAUCUGACAAUAGAAAAAUGCAAUGUAUUAUGUUGAGUUGACAAAAUACAUGCUUAUUUGAAAUUUUAAAUUGAUGUGAUGUUUUUUAAUUGAGUCUAAUAUUUAGUAAAAGAAUUAUCCAAAAUCUCCAACGGUAAAAUUAUCAGCAACUCACUCUAUUCCUUUGGGUGUGUUUGGAUGGAGGGGAAAGGAGUGAAGGUUUACUUUUCAUUUUUAAAUUACAGACACUAUGAAAUGUUUUAUAAAAAGUUAACAUAUUAACAUGAUAAACGAUCAUAUAAUACUUCAAUCACACUUAAUCUAUUUUAGAAAAUAUAUUAUAUAGUCCGUAAUUUAAAAACGAAAUAUAAACACACCGCUCUCUUCCCCUCCUAAACCCUCAAUCCAAACACGCCCUUAAGAUCAAAGCGCCACUUCUUAUUUUUUACUUGUCCUUUCUCUCAUGUUAAAUUUUCUUUUCCAUCUUCUUUAUUUUCUAAUUUAUUUUCUCUCUUAUCAUAAAAUAAAGAAACAAAUAUCUCCCUCCAUGAAAUCGUCGUCAACCCACCAUUUUUACCACGUUGUACCUUAAUCUGACCUUAUUGGUUCUAGGUCAUCAAAUCACAUAUCCAAUGAAUCUCACACUCCCUCCAUGAAUCUCACACUUAAAUGAUCUUAUUGGUUCUAGUUCACCGUUUUUAUGCACAUUAGCGCAAUAAGAAAGAAGAUAGACCGAUAUGGAGUAUCCGUCUUAACGAUAGUUUGAUAUAAUAAAUAUUAGCAUGAUGAUACAUUCACCGCUUUUUUUUUUAAGUUCAUCAAUAUCAUCACAAUACAUAGUGUGAUGCAUAUUUAUACUUGAUUACCACUUAAUUAUGAAAUAUCCAUACUAUUAGCAAGAUAAUUUUCUUUCCUUUUGAUGGAAAAUCAAACAUAUAAAAAACGGAAUAUCUACUCAAGAUCCACAAAGCAAUACAAAAGGAAAUUGACAACAACACUGAUUGUUGUCUUUCUAUAUAACCACUCUUGAUAAACACACAACGUUAUUUAUGCAUGAAAUUUAUUACUUAGAAGUUCACCAUGCAUGAUGAUAUCAUUAUGAUCAGUUACGAGUGUUGUUCUCUGUUUGCAUGGCAACAGCUUCACCAGCAUAUGAGCAACACUUUCUGCAACUCCCAUAAUACCUGUCACCGCAACAGCCAUAGCGACAAUAAUUACCACCACGGUUUCCAGGAUAACCACCACCAUAGUUACCACCACGGUUUCCAGGGUAACCACCACGGUUUCUAGGAUAACCACCACCAUAAUUACCACCACCACCACGACCAGGAUAGCCCCCACCAUAGCUUCCAUAUUUGGCAUCAUUUAAUUCAUUUGUUUGAUCAUCAGCCUCUGCAAACACAUUAUGUACGCACCAUUAUUUAUAAAAUUCAUUUUUACAAAAAAAUUGUAAGAGUUAAAAGUGAACUUAUUUUAGAGGUUCAUAUUAAACAAACUCACAUUUUGAUGGUGAAUUUUAAAUGACACAGAUUAUGCUUAGAAUCAUGUUUAACAGUUUUAGCAUUGCAGUGUGGAUCGGUUUGGAGGCAAAAUUUCAUACAAUUCAAAAUCAAUUUACACCUAGUUCGAUUUGAUUCAUAACAUAAUAUAAAAUAUAUUAAAAAUUAAUAUUAUGAAAUAAUAGUGAUUAAAUAUAUUUGAAACAUAUAGAAUAAUAAAAAAAAUUAAAUUAAACUUCCUUCAAAAAAAAAAACUAAAUUAAACUAAUAAGUAUCAUUGAAAAAAUUUAAAAUCAAUAUGAAUAAUAGAUCAAUGACAUAUAUUAGACUAAAAAAAAGAUAGAAAUUCAGAUAUGCGUAUAUGGUUUGCUAAAACACACCUUAAUAAAAAUCGGUAGGUAUACCCUAACAAACUAUAUAUAUAUAUAUAUCAAUUUAUUUAUUUUUUGCAUCAAUUUGGAUGUGAAACUCACAUAUUAAACAACCCCAUGAAAUAGAGCUUCUAGCGGUGGAGUGUUCAAUUUUGAAAUGUGUCAUGUCACCGGCAUUUCUGAAGGCAUUAUUAUCGAGGAAAAAAGAAAUACAAAAUACUUAUAAAAUGCUCAUGAAAAUGUACAAUCUCACCUUUUUGGGUAUUAGAGGAUGCCUCAGUUAAGUCCCUAGCCGAAACCUCUGAGGAGAUAAGAAGAAUGAUAGCCAAUAGACCUAGGAUAAGGAUUGCUUUUUUCGAAUCCAUUGUUCAAUACCAAUUCAAAUGGGAUAUUUGGUAGCCAAUGAUGAGAAAACUUGUAAGAAAGUAAGCUCUAUAUAUAAUGGAUGGAGAGAUAGGGAUCAAUACUAAAACCAUUACUUAGUAGUUGGGAAGGUAGCUAGUAUCUAUUGUAAUUCAAUCUUAUCUUAAUGUGGUGAGGUACAUAGUCUUUUUCCGAUUCAUUUUGAGUAGUAAAGAUCGGGGGGUAGGAAAUGAAGCAGAUCUAGAGCAGUUAAUGUCUGUGCUAUGUCUACUUGCUAACAUGGGCAUAAUUCAAUGUCAACUAUUGUUAAUACUAAAAAUUAAAAUAUUUUGACAUGUUAUAAAGUGUAAAGGGAUUUCGAUCAAGAGCAUACAGACUUCGAUAUACUGCAUUUUCGACCAAAUGUUUUAAUGUAUUGCAUGCACAUGAUUUUUGACCAAAGAUAAGGAGUUACAAUUGGAGUGCAUGCAAGUUAUUUUCUAGUGUUUUGUAAUUAUGCCAACUGUAGGGGUAUGACUCUAAUUAUAGGAAGUUAUUGGUAGUUUUUACUGCAAGGUCUAUAUAUAUAUCAGUUUGUAAUAAGAACAAAGGGUUGGAUCCCAUUUUCGGAAAUCCUUGUAACACUACAAGAAACAUUACCUUUUGUCAGGGGCAAAACCCUUGUCAAAAGGACAGAAUCCUUGGGAAAAAGGACGUUUGUGAGGGAAUUUCCCAAUGGCGGAAGCAAUGGCAAAAGCCCUCGUCGCAAACAUUUUGCCAGGGGUUACACCCCUGGGACAAAAACGAGGGGCUCAACCCCUGGUAUAUGGCGUGGCUUGUUCCCUGUCAUAACCUCUGGCAAAAUCCCUCAAUUUUUUCUACUGUGCAGUCUGCUCUCUUCCGACACACUGACUGACUGAUGGAAGGUCAGAUCAAGUCAGGAAAAAAAUCAGAGACUUGCGAGGUGUUUAACCCCUGGCUCUAAAUUUGAUUGUAGGUCCUUUUCAGCUAUUGAUUUAGAAUAUUAGGGUAUAAACAAUGAUAUUAGCCUGAGAUUUUCACCAAAUCAAAAUUAUAACUUGUAACAAUGCAAAUGUUUUUGUUUCCUACGAUAAAUUAUCAACUUACUCUAAAUUUUAUUGACAAUAUUCAUUUAUCGUCCUUCUAUUUCAAAAUAUCAAGUAAUAUGUGAUUAAAUUAUAACAUGUGUUAUUGACAUUGGUUUAUAAGGUUAGUGUUGGUGUGUCAUUAUCAUGGUCCGCACGUGUAAAAUCUCAGAGAAACUAAACUCAUUUUCUAACUAACUUUUCAAUCUGAAUUUCUGAUUUUUCAUUAAUUGUGAAAACUGUUACAAUCAUUCUUAUAUAGGAGACUGAGGGUUACCUGAUAUAGCAGGUUAACCUGAUAUACUACAGGCAGGUGGCAGUCACUUGACAGUUGUUCAUAGCUGUCAAGUGCCAACUGUUAUCCACUAUAUCUAUUACAAGCAUAUACAAGUUACUACUCUUAUACUCCCCCCUCAAACUCAGUGGGGUGUGAAAUCACAUUGAGUUUGGAUCUCAUUAAAAGAAACUUUGAAGUGGAGACAGGUUUGGUGAGAAUAUCUGCCCACUGAUCAGUACCAGGAAUAUGAACUAUGGAGAGUUGCUUGGCAAUGAUCUUUUCCCUGACAAAAAAGAGGUCUAUCUCCAUAUGCUUUGUUCUGGUGUGUAAAAUGGGAUUAUCACAGUAAACGGUGAGAUUGUUAAAGGGAACAGUGAGCUCCUGUAACAAUGUCUGGACCCAGAGAGCAUCAGCUGUAGCUUGUGCCAAAGCCCUGUAUUCAGCUUCUGUACUUGAUCUGGCCACAACAGGCUGCUUCUUGGACCACCAUGAAAUGAGAUUGGGACCAAAGAAAAUUGCAGCACCAAAAGUGGAUCUUCUGUCAUCUGGAUCAGCAGCCUAGUCAGCAUCACAAAAAACAUGAAGUGAGAGAGGUUUGUGAAUUGGAGCAGGAUGCAACUCAAGUCCAAAGGUGAAGAUUCCUUUUAAGUAUCUGAGAAUUCUCUUGACAGCAACCCAGUGGGAUUCAAGAGGGUUGGACAUGAAUUGGCAUACCUUAUUCACAGAGUAAGCUAUCUCAGGCCUGGUAAUAGUUGCAUAUUGCAGAGAGCCAACAACAGAUCUGUAAGAGAGGGAUCUGAGAAGGUGUCUGAUCCAAUUUUAGACAAUUUACAACUGGACACCAUAGGAGUAUUGAUGGAGUUGCACUCAAGCAUAUGUGUUUUGGCUAGUAAAUCAUUAAUGUAUUUACUUUGAGUGAGCAAAAGAGAAUUGUUGGGAAGAUGCUUCACUUCAAUGCCAAGAAAAUAUUCCAACAGACCAAGUUGCUUAAGGCUAAACACUGAAUCAAGUUGCUUAACUAAAGCAGAAACCAAUGAAGAAGAACUACCAGUCAUAAUUAUGUCAUCUACAUAAACAAGUAGAUAAACAACUUGUUUCUGCUUGGCAUAGGUAAACAAAGAGGGAUCACAUUUACUAGCCUGAAAGCCAAACUGAAUGAGAGCAGUAGUUAACCUUUCAAACCACUGCCUGGGUGCUUGUUUAAGACCAUAAAGAGCCUUAUGGAGUUUGCACACUAAUGUAGAAUCAGAAUGUUCAAAACCUGGAGGUUGCUGCAUGUAAACUUCUUCUUCAAGAAUACCAUUGAGAAAGGCAUUGUUAACGUCCAAUUGCUGGAUAGGCCACUUGUAUGAUAAGGCAAGAGUAAGUAUGAGUCUAAUAGUGAUGGGUUUGAUCACAGGUGAGAAAGUUUCAGUGAAAUCAAAGCCUUGCACUUGAUGAAAUCCUUUAGCAACCAGACGAGCUUUGAACUUAUUUAGAGUACCAUCAGAGUUUUCUUUGACUCUAAAUACCCAUGUACACCCAAUGGCUUUCCUAUUGGGAGGCAAAGGCACCAGGGACCAUGUGCUGUUUUUCUGCAGUGCGUCAAAUUCAUCCUGCAUUGCAGCACGUCACUUAGGAUCAAGUAAGGCCUGCUUAACAUUCUUAGGUUCAGUGUAGGUGAGAAAAAUGUUGGGGUUAAGACGAGGGAGGACAAUACCAGACUUAGAACGAGUUUGCAUAGGGUGAGAAUUAACAGGUAAAGGGGCAGUAGUAUGUGUAGAGUGUUGGGAAGCUGUAAAUGAUUGAGGUUCAAUGUUAGUUGCUGAUGUAGUAGUAGGGACAAGAGAAUUAGGAGGGCUGGGGGAGGCCAUUUGAGAGGUAGGAGAAGAUGAGGUGGAUUGAUUAUGAAAGUUAGAAGGAAGGUCAGAAGGAUGUAUGGGUAAAGAGGACAGAGAGACAUCUUGGAUAGGGUGAAGAGGAUCAUAGGUGUAAUUUUGAAAUAAUGAAAGAUAAGGAAAUUUAGACUCAUUAAAGAGAACAUCCUUGGAUAUAAAGAUACGACCACUAGGAGACAUGCACUUAUACCCUUUGUGAGUGGUGGAAUAUCCCAAAAAAAGACAUUCAUGAGACCUAAAGUCAAACUUGUGUGAAUUAUAGGGCCUUAACAAAGGAAAGCAAGAGCAGCCAAACACUUUUAAAAAAUGAUAGUCAAGCAUUUUGUGAAACAGAGUUUGAAAAGGAAUUUGAAACUGUAAAGAGGCAGUAGGUAGUCUGUUUGUAAGGUAAACAACAGCUAGAAAAGCAUGAUCCCAAUAAGUCAAAGGAAGGGAAGCAUGGCUAAGAAGAGUUAGACCCAAAUCCACAAUAUGUCUAUGUUUUCUUUCUAUGACACCAUUUUGAUGGUGAGUGUGAGGACAAAUGAGUCUGUGAGUGAUUCCUAAACCAGUAAGAUAUUGAGUAAAAGAUCUGAAUUCACCCCCCCCCCCCAAUCAGUUUGAAUAGAUUUAAUGGAAUGACCUAGCUGAAGUUCAACCAUAGAUUUAAAUUGCAUGAAAACAGUAAGAGCAUCAGACUUGUUUUUAAGCAAAUAAAUCAGGUGAAUCUAGAAAAAGCAUCAACAAAGGUUAUAUAAUAGUGGUAACCAAGAGAGGAAACAGUUGGUGAAGGACCCCAUAAAUCACUAAACACAAGUUGAAGAGGGUGAGUGUAUAUAGUGUGUGAAGUGGGUGAAUGUAACCUGUGAGCUUUACCUAUACAACAAGCAUUGCAAAAAGUGGAAAUAUCUUUUUCUUUAUUGAUUGUGGAAAUAUUACAAUGUUGUAAAACAAGUUUAAGAGUAUGAUUAUUAGGGUGUCCUAGUCUUUGAUGCCACAAAUUGUGAGAUUUAGAUGGCAUCUGAUUAUUACAAGAAGGAAAUAUGGUAUUAAUAGUGGAAUCAGGAGAAGUAAAGAAAACAGAAGGGGAUGAGCACUUAGCAGUGUCCAUGGAGAGACUGGGAAAGGUGUAAAGACCAUCAGGACCAACACUGCCACGAAGGAGAACUUCUUUAGUGUCCUGAGAUUUAACAACACAAUAGUCAGCAUGAAAUUCAAAAAAUACAGUAUUAUCUUUAGCAAACUGACUGACACUGAGAAGGUUUUUGGUAAUGUCUGGUACAUUAAGUAAUUUAUUAAGGCUUAAGGUUUUAUGUGGUUUAAGGGGUGAGGGAAAAACACUGGAACCAUAAGAAUGUAUUGGCACACCUUGACCAUUUCCUACGAAGAGUUGGUCAGGACCUUCAAAAAAGGACUGCUCCUGAAUGUUUAUAGCAUCACCAGUCACAUGAAAAGAGGCAGCAGAGUCAGGAAACCAAGUGGAAGAUCCACUUGUAGAUGGAGCAUUAAUCAUCAUGGCACUUGGUUGAGAGAACUGCACAGAGGGAGGCCUUUGUUGAGCAGAAGGACGAGGCCAGUUGUUGAAAGAGCCAUAUCCCAGAGAGUGCUGAUUGUAUCCACCAUAAGGAGCACCAUAAGGCAUCAUACUAGGAGAUGCAAGAUGAUAAGGAUCAAUAGGAGCAUUAUUGAAUCCCUGAAAACCUUGGAAAUUAGGUGGAAUUUGUGGCUGAAACUGUUGGUUAAACCUGUGCCAGCAUGUAGAAGCUGGAUGUCCAAACCUAAAACAGACUUGGCACUGGACAUUAGAAAGUCUGCCUCCUCUACCACGACCUCUGCCAGAUCUACCUCCUCUACCACGAUUUGAACCAAAAUUGGGAGUAAAAUUAGGGUUGAAGGUGGAGUGAUCUGAACCAGUAGUAACAUUAACAGAGGCUUGUGACUGAGAGGAUUCAGAGGGAGAUGAAGCCUGAGAUGCAGAAGAUGAAGUAAGGUUGAUAGAAGCCACAUCUUCAAGAACCUUUUUCUUGAAUUUAUCAAGACGUGUUUCAUGAGCAAGAAGAAGAGACUCAACUUCGUCAACGUCAAUAACAUCAAAUUUGCUUUCCACUACAGAUAUAACAGGACUAAAAUCUUGCGGUAAACCUUCUAAAAUCACAUCCAAAUGUUGAUUAACAGGAACUGGAUCUCCUAUAGAGGCUAGAUUAUCAACAAGAUCACGAAUACGAAGAAGAUAAUCCUGUACCGUAAGAUUUGCAAGAGAAGUAGAACGCAGUUCAACACUAAGUUGACGCGCCUUCGCACGCAUCUGUUUGUGAAAAUAUGCCACAAGUUUAUCCCAAAGUUCAUACGCAUGAGAGCAACCAAUGAACCGAGCCAAAAUUGCACUGGAAAGAGUGUAUUGAAGCCACGAUAAGAGCAUCUGAUCAGUUAAACGCCAUUUGCGAAAAGCAGGAUUGAGCGUACCAGUAGCGCGAUCUUGCGCAUUGAGAAAACAAGGAGGAACAAUCGGCGCAACGAUGAAACCGUCAAGGUUGUGAGCAUUGAUGUACGGUGCAACCUGUUGACGCCAUAGCAGAAAAUUCUUUUCCGUCAAUUUCUCAGAGAUCUUGAGUGCGAAGGCAAAUUUGGAACGAUCCGAGUCAUUAUCUUCAAGAAACGAGUCGAGCGGUAUAGAAUUGAUCGGAAUCGCCGUCGGAAUAGGUGUCUCCGGUGGCAGAGACGGUGGUUGAGACACCAUGGAUCUAGAGGCUAAUCUGAUACCAUGUAAAAUCUUAGAGAAACUAAACUCAUUUUCUAACUAACUUUUCAAUCUGAAUUUCUGAUUUUUCAUUAAUUGUGAAAACUGUUACAAUCAGUCUUAUAUAGGAGACUGAGGGUUACCUGAUAUAGCAGGUUAACCUGAUAUACUACAGGCAGGUGGCAGUCACUUGACAGUUGUUCAUAGCUGUCAAGUGCCAACUGUUAUCCACUAUAUCUAUUACAAGCAUAUACAAGUUACUACUCUUAUAGCACAGAAGCAAUCAAGAUAAAAGAAAGAAGGCUGAAUAGCAGUUUUAACCCUAUAAGUUUUAAGAAGUUGCGAUUUUGGUCCCCUAAAAAAAAAAAAAAACUAUAAACCGUCCCAUAAGUUUUGCUCAUGUGGCAGUUUUGGGCCCAUGGAAUUUUGACUCGGUCAACGCACACGUGUGUAUUUAUUUAUUUUUUAAAAAAUAUAUUUUAAAUAAGUAAAAAAUAAAAACCUUUUUUAUUUUUCUAAUAAAAAAUAUUUUUUUAAAAAAUAAAAAAAUAAAAUAAAAAAUAAUUAUUUUUUAAUUACAAAAAUAAAACAAUUAUUUUUUAAAUAAUUUAAAAAUAAAAAUAAAAAUACACAUGACAUCCACGUGUGCGUUGACUGAGUCAAAAUUGGCCUAGGGGCCAAAACUCCCACAGGGCGAAACUUAGGGGUUUUGUAGUUUUUUUUUCUUAAGGGAUCAAAAUCACAACUUCUUAAAACUUAUGUGGCUAAAACUUAGACGGCAAAACUGCUAUUAAGCCAAGAAAUAACUUCAAUGGCGAAAUGCAAUGUUUCUCCUUCCUCAUGUAAAAUUGAACUUUGUUCGGUUUGAAGUACUACACAGUUGUUGGCUAUGCUGAUUCCUCAACUUUUUUCCUUGGAUUCACUUAGCAAAAUAAAUUUCUACGCGAAUUAUAAACUGUAAAUGCAGUAGUUUUAAUUAAUGGUAAAUUAUGAAGGCAAAAACACCAAAAUUUGGUGUGUAAAUGAAGUAGAUUCAAUUAAUACUUUUAUUUAUACAAUUAUACUAAUUAUUAAUGAAGCUAAAAAAAUUACACCCUCAGGAUACAUCUUAGCAACCGAUGGCAAUUGGUUCGUCGAUAAAUCAAAAAGACGUCAAAACCUAUCACACAACCGUUCAUUGUUAACCCGUUCCCUCCACAGACACCCAUCAUAUAAUUCCACCAAAUUGAUCCUAAUCACCCUCCCUCUCUAAUACGACCAUCAUCAAACCCAUACCUUACCCAUAACAUCUUGUACCAAUAACUCGCUUGAUCCGCAUGCAUCCUCCAAUUAACACCACUUUUCUAACAAUGCGAAAUUAAAUUGUUGAAUCCUACAUACGCCCAACCCUCCAUUCUCCUUGACCAAUUAAACUGGGUUCCAAUUAACCCACAUAAUUUUUCUAAAAUUCUCAUAAGCCCUCAUCCUCCAACAAUAAAGAACUUUUAAAAUGAACCUACAUAAAAUUGACAUUUAAAUACAGAAAUUAAUUAGACUGAAACAUCCAUUUGAUAUUGAUUUUUUUUAAAAGAAAAAUGGUAUGCCUAUCUUGGUACAUUGUAUUUCUUUUACGGUUGGUACAUUGUACAUUAAUUUAGAAAAUAAUCAUGUACCAAAAAAAAUAAAAUAAUAAUAAUCAUAAAUAAUGGUUAUGAAUGUCACUCUUCAUAUUAACUAUUAUUCAAACUACGUGUUAUUUCUCCAAAAUAAAUAAAUAGUAACAUGUUAGUUUUAUAUAUGCAUUUUUUUUCAGCUAGGUAAUCUAUUGGAUAGAAUUUCACCCUUUUAAGGUGAAUAAAUGAAGAAUCCAAGUUCGAACUCCGACUCCUUCAUAUAUAAUGCAUUUUUCUGUCAACUUAAUAUGAAAAUCUUUUACCAAUAUAAUAUUCAACUAACUAACAUAUAUGAUUUCUCAAUAGAAUAAUAUUUUAACAAAAUAUUAUAGUUUUGUUUCAUUUAUUCAUGAUUGUUGCGAAUUCGAUGAAAAAUCACACCAAUAACAAACUUGAUGUGUGGAGCAAGGGAUAAUCAGGCAACCAAAAUCAAAGUGUAUAGAACAAUUAUAAACACAAGCUAAAAGUAGAAAACAACAGCGAGAGAAAAAGAAGAGAGAACACAAAAGAAUUUGUUGACCUAGUUCGAUCUAAAUUGACCUAGUCUGGGGGAGAGAGCAGACAUCUGUUUCACUAUAUGAUGAGUAACGUUACAAAAGAGAUAUCAAUGGAUUACAAUAAUAAGUCUCCAGCCUAAUUUUACCCAAAGUUCCAAUCUCCUCCCGUAACCAAGAGAUUCAAUCCUAAUAGUAUUUUCCAAGGUGAAUCAACCCUCAAACCCUAGUGUUUGUUCCAAAGAGACAAACUCUAUACAAACCCUAGUUUCGUGAUUGUCAUUCUAAACCCUUGUUUCAGCCCCCUCUAUCUCAACGUUUACUCUGAUAUAAGGUCUAUAUUUAUAGUAAAAGUAUCGCUUAAAAUUUGAACAAAUCUGCACCCAAAAAUACGUUUCUGUUAUUCGUUGCCAACGCACCAUCGUGCCACGAAAAAACCAGUGACUUGCCUCAAAACUGAAACCUCCAAUCGUGCUAUGUUGCCCAGCCAUCGUGCCUAGAUUCUGCAGAAACCUAAUUUUAAGUUAACUCUCACAAUGAGAAAUCAAUAAUAACAUUUUAUUUAUUUAUUGAGAUGAUAUAAUAUAUCUAAACUAACAUAUAGCUUAUUACUUCAUCUUAAAUUUUAACUUAAAAGACAACGCAUCGAUCUUAGUGAGAUUAUAGUUUUCAUUCAUUUUUAAUUUAUUAUUUUGGUAUUUUUAGCAAAAAUAUUUUUUUUGGACAUCAACUUAUGUAUUUUUCCUCUAUAUGAUUGAUUUUUAUACUACAUUUUAAUUAAUUAUUUAAUCUAAUUUAGCCAUGGAAAAAAUUAAGGAAUAUAUUCUAAUAUUUUUAAAUUUCAUUUAUUUUUUGUGAAUUUAUUGACCUAACAUUAUCAUAGUCGCAAUCUCAUACUUAGCAUGAAUCACUACACACGUAAAGUAUAUAAGACAACUCUCAGAAGUCCUUAAAUUGAAAUUGACAGCGAGGAUGAACGAUAAUGAAAGUCGCCCAUUUAUUUUGAAUUUUUCUUUGAAAUAUUGGCAUUUAAUGGUACUCCUGUUGAUACAAACUAGUUCGCCGCCCCAUGCUAUUGCACGGGUCAAUGAUAAGUUUGACCGAAUGCAAAUCAUUGUUUAACAAAUUUUACUUGCACCUAUCCACCCUUAAUUUACAUUAACAGCAUCGUGUAUUGUCCAGUGAUUGGAUCUCAUAAUAAUUAUUAGUGCAUUGACAUUUACAUGGAUAUGAAGCGUGAACAACACUAAACCAAAUUUAGUCUAACCAUCCACUAAUGACAUUACCUUCAGGUAGUUGAAUCAUUUGUAUCAUUAUUUGUUCUAUUGAUCUAAUGUGUAUAGCUAUGUAUUUUUUUUUAUGGUGCUAUAUAAUUCUAAUGAAAUGGAAAACAAUGCACUUACAAAAAGACAUUCAUAUUCCAUACAUUCUUUAUUUAGAUUAUGCAGCACAUGUUUCACAUGGCAUUAACUCCCCCUACAUGCUUAGCAUUUUCAACUAAACUUGUGUUCAAUAUACAAUUGAAAAUAACAGUAGCAUCACACAUGUCAAACUUAAGUUUCCAAUCCAUACUGCAUAUAAAUAAAGAAUUGGACAUUUUUCGGUCCGAAAAUUAAGCAACAAAGAUAGAGUAAAAACACGACAUUUUUCGGUCUUCAUAACCAGAACCAAAGUUAAGCCAGAAGCUGAAAAAAUUGGACAGAUUGCAAGCAAUCCAACCUUGUAACACUAACAAACAAUCCAAUAGUAACCACAAACUCUGCUACCCCAAACGCAGAUGCAGAGCAGUACCUGUAGACAAACAACAAAACCUCAUCACCAUUCACAAAUAAAUAUGCACUCCCUCCGGUCUUGAACAAUAUAAUUUUUUUACCAAAUACUGUUCAACUUAAUGCUUAAAAUGACCAUAGGGAGUUCCAAGUGGAGAGAAGAUGUAUAGGGAUUGACAGAAUCAUAUCACACAAAAGCCUCAUCGCAUAGAUUGAGCAACUUACGUCAUUACAAAAGUCCUCUUCCUCUGCCUAUUCAUUGCAGAGACAUUCACCCGUGCAGUUACAGGCAAUUCUGAAUUUGUUCCAACAAUCUCAAUCUUCAUGGGCUUUCCAUCCAAAAGCACAUUGUUAUAUCGUUUAAGAGCAGCAAAUGCAUCACUUCUUCUAUUGUAGACAACUUCAGCUGAACCCUAUUACAUGGUGAAACAUUUAUGCUUAAUAAAACAUGACAACAACAUAGUUGAAAAGCUCAAAGGUAUAACACAAAACUGUUAACACUACUACUUUACAGAACAUAUAUUGUGUAGUUAAAGUUGAAGAAAAGACAGCAGCUAAAAAAUACAACUUUUCAAAUCAUUUACAGACUGUUUGGUGACCCUUAAUUUCAACAUGAGCGGCAAAAUAGCAAUUACCGAAUUAUUUUUUCAAAGCAAUUAAUGGCCAGCUUUCUAUGAAAUCCAUUUGGGGGCAUCUGAUACAAAACAAUCCCAGCCCAGUUGGAAAUUAGAAGCUAAAAUGUGAGAAAGACUGAUCUCAUAGAAGACCUUAAACUCAUAAGAAAUUAGUUUUAGGAGAUAACUUUCAAUUGGAUGCGGAUUGUUGAUCUCGUAAAAGACCUCAAACAGAUAAGAAAUUAGUUUUACGUUAUAAUUUCCAAUCGGGUGUGGAUUGUUUUGUGUUAUAACUCUCUCACUCAUACUUAGUUAUAGGUCACACAUGCAGUACCUUGUCAUACUUACCUGAAUUUUUUUGGUAAUGAUUUUAUCUUAUUAAACAUGUAAAUUCCCAAAUCAUCAAAUCUUAAGAGAUAAGAAUACACGCAUAUGACAACAACUCUCAUAUGUAUAGCUUCACAUUUGCAACCUGUAGAAGCCAACCACACAAAGAUUGCAUGAAUGAAACUUAAGUCUACAGUUACAUUCUUUACAAGUUAAAACUAACACAACAUACAAAGGUAUUUUAAUCAAAAUUUUAAGGCUGAAAGCGUAUUUCUUAGAGGACGUACCUGUUUGGUAGCGUAUUUCCGUCACCAAACGUGUGUUUGUGGAUGAUUUCCUCGCUAUCUACAGAAGCUCCAGAACCAAGCUUCUUCAGUUAACAUGGUUUUUCAACGCAAAAUUGCUUGAGACUUUGAUCAUUCAUCAAAAAAAUACAUGGUACUAAGAACCAUAAACAACCAUUGUCAACCAUCCUGUCUAAAUCCAACUCAAUGUAUCAAUACAGCCAAAAAGAAACAGGAAAAUUAAUACUUACCCAACCAGUCAAAAAGAUAACUCCAAAUAAGAGGAAGGCACUACCAUUCAUAAUCAAUGUCAAAGCUUCCUGUCAUGGCCGAUGUGCACCACGGUGACCCCUCCUCUAAUCCACCAAAAGAUGUAGUAUCCUAUUUAUAAUAAUUGCACGAAUAGAAAUGGGUCAUCAACAGUGGAUGAGUUCAUGUUUAAUCACACCAUGAUCUUCAUACAACGGUUCGAAUUUACGGCAAAUCACACCACUCCACCACCGACCUUGUCAAAGCCACCAUUCAAAACCUUCGUUCCACUUCCGGCACCGUCACCACCUCCGUAAUCACCGAAUCCUGCCAUUGUUCAGUCUUAACCUCUUGCAAUUUCAUUAGAGACCAUUAACAUUUUUGUAUAUUGAAGAAUCUUUUGCUGGAACAAAAGAAACUAACACAUCAAAAUAGCAAACAUAUUUUCAUAAAGGAAAAUAUAGAAAAUCAUAUCAUAUAGAUGUACUGAUAAAGGAGAAAGAACAUGAGACUGGAGGUUUUGCGAGGCAUGAUUUCAAACUCCAAAACUAAAAAUAAUUAGUACCAAUAAAACAAAUCACAUAAAAAUUCAAACUUUAAUCGAAAUAACUUACUACAGGAAGUGCAUCAAUGAAAUUACUAUAAAUUUUAUCAAGAGGGUGUGUAUUGUAAUCAACUGUGUACAAAUUGCGGCCAAAUUUAUAACCUAAACACAGAUCAAAAUGAAAAUUUCAAGACAAAUCAAAAUAAAAGACUAAAUUGAAAAGAAAAAAAAAACUUAAAACUAAAAAUUACCAUGUGUUAAUGAGGCUGAGACUCUGUUGGAUGGCCAAGCAAGCAAGACCCUAUCUCCCUUCAUUAACUCCACUAUGAUCCCCUUUCUAAUUUCAACACUGUCAACAAAAACUCUGAUAGAAGCUUCUAGAAACAGAAAACCCUCUCUACUACAAAACACCAUUGUCAUGAACGAUUAGCAACCUUACAAUAGGAUUCAGCAAGAAAACCAUUGGAUUCAACAUUUUUUCACAGAAUCAGAACCAAAAUUAGAAGAUAUUGAAAUCAUAAAACCGUGUAAGAAUUUAUUCGAAAAUGAAAAACGAAUUGUAACAUUGAUUUUGUGAGCUGAAAUAGGAAAUCAAAACCCACAAAGAUUUUGGGGUUGUGAAGAGGAAAAAGAAAAGAAGAGG
This 19264-nucleotide long non-coding RNA is filed under the name Medicago truncatula (barrel medic). RNAcentral describes it as "long non-coding RNA (MTRU_LNC003590)". Lineage: Eukaryota; Viridiplantae; Streptophyta; Magnoliopsida; Fabales; Fabaceae. The record is from RNAcentral.